AGUGAACGCUGGCGGUAGGCCUAACACAUGCAAGUCGAACGGCAGCACAGUAAGAGCUUGCUCUUACGGGUUGCGAGUGGCGGACGGGUGAGGAAUACAUCGGAAUCUACUUUUUCGUGGGGGAUAACGUAGGGAAACUUACGCUAAUACCGCAUACGACCUACGGGUGAAAGCAGGGGAUCUUCGGACCUUGCGCGAUUGAAUGAGCCGAUGUCGGAUUAGCUAGUUGGCGGGGUAAAGGCCCACCAAGGCGACGAUCCGUAGCUGGUCUGAGAGGAUGAUCAGCCACACUGGAACUGAGACACGGUCCAGACUCCUACGGGAGGCAGCAGUGGGGAAUAUUGGACAAUGGGCGCAAGCCUGAUCCAGCCAUACCGCGUGGGUGAAGGAGGCCUUCGGGUUGUAAAGCCCUUUUGUUGGGAAAGAAAAGCAGCAGGUUAAUACCCCGCUGUUCUGACGGUACCCGAAGAAUAAGCACCGGCUAACUUCGUG
Molecule: ribosomal RNA, 492 nt
Filed under: uncultured bacterium
Lineage: Bacteria
Description: partial 16S ribosomal RNA
Rfam family: Bacterial small subunit ribosomal RNA
Source: RNAcentral